ACAUUAAUAUCAUCUUUCUUCUUUUUUUUAAAGGUGACUUAAGAGAUUAAAAUUAAUUUGGUUGCUGAUGGUUCUGAACAAAUAAUGAGUUCUUUUAUUUGAGGUAUGCCAUUUUGAAGACUGAGACAUUGGAGUUUUAUCCUAGAGGAUAAAGGAAAUCUUUGGCAAAGUCAGUAUUUUAUAUAGCAAAAAUAUGAACCUCAAACUGAAUCCUCUAAAGGCCCCAUACAAUGAAGUAGACAUUGGUGGAAGCAUUUACACCCAGUCAGCUUGAAGAGUUUCAAAUGGACCCUACCACUGAGAAAUCAAGAUGGCAGUCUACUAUGGGGAAUUGAGGAAAAUGGAUUAAUACAAGAGUCCUGUGAUAAUAUACAACCAAGACAGGGUUCUUUUAACAUGGAUUCCAUGCAGUGAAUGAAGACAUAGGUUUCUUACCCAACACAAAUGGACAGUGGAUUUGACUUUCUAAAGACUUUUUUUUGUGGACAUUUUGACAUUUGGAGAAGAAAGAUGGCACACUAACCCAGAUAAUAGUUUUUAUGCCUGGAAUUUUUUGCAGUUUGAUUUGUAUGCGUAUGACCUCUUGAAAUGUUAAUUUUUAAUAAAAUUUGUAACACUUAAAAAUUUCUCAGUUUGGGUUUUUUUUUUUUAAGUGGAAGUUUAAUUAAAAUGUUUAGUUUUAUUUUAGUAAUACUUUGGCCUUUGUAGUUGCCGAGUGGUAAAGUGUACUGAAUAUGAAUAAAGCUGGUAAACUGGAAAUGGUGUAAUCGAAAACAUUUUACUUGGUUUAUGAAGAUUUACGUUUUUCACAAAGUUGUGCUCUUAGAUGGUCAUUUGGUUUAAAUACUGUUUUGUUUGUGCUUUCAUGAAACACCUUUCAAAACAACUCAAUGG
Molecule: long non-coding RNA, 894 nt
Filed under: Pan troglodytes (chimpanzee)
Lineage: Eukaryota; Metazoa; Chordata; Mammalia; Primates; Hominidae
Description: long non-coding RNA NONPTRT005515
Source: RNAcentral